AUUUCAGGAAGAACAACAAUGAUUGUGUCUGUGAUGUGGAGAUUUCAUGAUUAGCUUUUAUAUUUUUGUUGAAGUCCCCUAAGAGAUAUAAUCUCAGUUGUAUUCUUGAUUUUACUUUUCAAAUAUCAAAUGCGUCGUGAAUAUACAAGUCGCAUACAAUCAGUAGACACGGUGUCUUGUCUUGUACGCUAAUAAAAGCUGUUGGCUACGUUAGCUCUCUAUCGAUGACCUAGUAGUAGCCGUCGCAGACAAGCUAGCUGUUUAGGUGCUACUGUAUCUCCUUCGUGAUUCAUCACAAUCCUGUGUUCCCAGUGUCUUUUCCCUAAUGGCGUGACACAUAACCUUAGUCAAUUUUCCCUCAAACUGAAUUUUGUUAAUAUUUACGCGCUAGCCUCUGCUAUCCUUCCUUUACAUACAUAAGGCUAACACCAUUGUUUGUUAGGUGAGCUAGGUUGGGUACGUCCACCCUUGUUCCUCUAGUCGUAAGUUACAAACGUUUUUUUUUUUUUUUUUACCGAAUGUUUUCGGCGAACAAUGCUCUCUACCAGUCUAUUUACUGAAGGAAAAUGGUGGGUAAUUUUUGGUCUGUCCAGUCUCUUGCUGUUGACGCAAGGACAAGAUGAUGAUUGGGUCGAUCCAUUUGACAUGUUGAACUACGAUGCAACCUCAAAGUCUAUGAGGAAACCCCCUGAGGCGGCAAGUUACGACAAUGUACCCACCAAACGAAGAGAAUAUGUACAGGAGCCAUGUCCCCCGUGCCAGUGCCCUGAUGUCUCUCAGUGCAAUAAGAACGUGGAGAUGCUACAGAGGGAAUUACAUGAGCACAAACGGAAGACGACCUCUUUACUUCAACCUGCAACGUGUAAUCCCAUCUUCAAGCGAUUCAUCUCCAAACUAUUGAAGGAAAUUUCGAGACUUGGCUUGUCAAAUGAAAGUCCAAAUGGCAUGUACUAUGAUGCCAAGGUACAUUUGUCUUCAAGAACUAUGGCUGAGCUCCAGAAGGUGGUGGUAGGGGAGACCUGGACAACGGGUUCUCUAGAUGAUGCUCUCAGUAAGAUACUGGUGGACUUCAAACCACAUGACUAUGAGGCCUGGAAAUGGCGGUUUGAGGACACAUUUGGAGUUGAGCUGGACACAGUCGUGAAGACUUCCAUGUUUAUUUUGGUCAUAGUGGUGAUCAUCUGCAGUGAGCUUUGGUCUACGGUUUCAUGGUUUGUCCAGUUCAAGAGGAUGUUUGCCAUCUGCUUCUUCAUCAGUAUUGUCUGGAAUUGGUUUUAUCUUUACAAGAUUGCGUUUGCUGAGCACCAAACCAACAUUGUGAAGAUGGAGAGUGUCAAUGAUAAAUGUACUGGUGUGAAGAAGAUAGACUGGAAGGACAACUUAAAAGAGUGGUUUAGGAGCACCUGGACUCUUCAAGAUGAUCCUUGCAAGAAAUACUAUGAAGUACUCAUGGUUAAUCCCAUAUUACUGGUCCCUCCAACUAAGGCAAUCUCCGUCACCAUUACAACCUUCAUCACAGAACCCCUGAAGCACUUGGGCCAGGGGAUCAGUGAGUUCCUCAGGGCCCUUCUGAAGGAUCUGCCAGUUACUCUUCAAAUACCUGUCCUCCUCACCAUUGUGCUGUCCAUUGUGUUCUGCACAUAUGGCAGUGCCCAGACUGCCAUCCAGCAUGUCCUUACCGGCCCGCUGAGAAGAGGUCGCAGAGAUCCCCCGCCACCACCCAACAGACUCCAGGACCGUGGCCAACACCCCCAGCUAGAACAGGGAGACUCCAACGAAGAGGAUGAGGACGACCAGCACCACCUGGGGGCCGGGGAUGCGCCGCUCCCCAAACGGGGUCUGGAUCAGAGGGGUAGGGCGAGGGGAGGAGGCGCAAGAGGAGAAGGAUGGAGACAAGAGGUCCGCCGGAGACCCGUCCGGCCCAAGGAGAACCAGCGGCGGGUUUUUGUGGAGACCCUGCGGAAUGCAGAUCACCAUUUCAGCGGAGACGAGACUGACCAAUCCAGGCUACCUGAGGAAGGGAUAGAGAGAGAGGGGGAGGAAAGGGAGGAUGUUGCUGAGGGGGACCAGGCGGCUGCUGCAGAAGAGGUUGUUAAAGAUGAGAAGCUAAAAGAGAAGCCCGCUGACAAGAAAGAGCAGCCCGUCAACAAGAAAGAGCAGCCCAGUGACAAAAAAGAGCAGGGGGCCGACAGGAAUGUUGAUGGCAUCGACUCCCCGCAUACUGAGCCAGGCUCAGAGGGAGAGAGGACUAUGAGACCAUCAGAUCAGCAGAGCACAGCGUCAACACGGAGUCAAGGAGCUGCAGCACCAGAGCAGAUAACAUCAUUACAAGGACUCAACAUCUUAUUGCUUAUUGAAAGGAUGAUAACUGAGAAACUGCUAACAAUUAAGCAACAAAACAAUGAAGCUGCCGUACUGUGCCAGUCGAAUGGGCUGACACUCACCUGAUCUCACCUGGGGUUCGUUUCCCAAAAGCAUAGUUGCUAGUUGCUGUGAUAGCAACUACCUUGGUAGUGUCACUGCCAAAUGCAGAAGAAGCUUCUUCGGAGCAGAAGGAUGUCUUAAUAAAGAGUGGACAUGUUGAGGAUAUUGGAGUACCGGUUCAAGAGUGUGGACUAUAAGGGACCGUUAAAUCAUGUGGCCUUGUAAAUUUAAAUGGCCUUUGAUAUUGUGUACAUUUUUGCCAAUGAGAAGAACUGUCUUUUUGUCAGUGCAUUGCACUUAUCAGGAAUUAGCCUACUAAUUUACUAAACUACUCAUAGACUACUCAUUUUCUUAAUCAUCUUUUGAUUUGUUAUUGUUAUGUAAAAAAUAAAAAAUAUUUUUACAA
Molecule: RNA transcript, 2830 nt
Organism: Alosa alosa (allis shad)
Lineage: Eukaryota; Metazoa; Chordata; Actinopteri; Clupeiformes; Clupeidae
Gene name: chloride channel CLIC-like protein 1
Exons: 13
Source: RefSeq, a predicted model, not a curated record